GAUGUCAUGGUUAUGCUUGAUAUGGCUUUAUGGAAUGGGACUGUAAAUGAAGUCCUUUCCAGCUCUAUUUUUCUACGAUUUUAUGUCAAUUUGACUGUUGUUGUGUAAAGCUUCCUCUGUCAUGUGAUCCAGAGCAUUUCAUCCGCUAAGCAUUUUACUUAGAAAGUUUUCUUCCUACAUAUAUUACAACCUAUUUUUCUUUUCUUUUUCUUUUUUUUUUUUUUUUUAAAAUAACAAUGAUAAUCCACAGGAUGAAGGUAGCACCUUUUACUCCUCACAAAGCUAAAUUCACCAUUGGCCUUGUUCAUAAACCUUGUUCAUAAAGGAGUAGACAGAUGCACAGGAAUGUUAUGGAAUUGCUGAGUGUUCAUAAAAUGCUGUGUUCAUAAAGUAGGCUGGUAGCAAAAAUGGGCACAUAACCCAGGAAAUAUGUCUCCCAGGCCUUUCCCUAGCUGCCAGACCACAUUAUUUAUCCAACAAAUUAUGCUGAUGAAGACGGAGUACCCAAUUUGCAGCUCUGACACAGAUUCUUUUUCUCUUGUCACAUGGAGAAAUCAUAAUCCUCUGAAUGCAGAAGAAGUCCUGGCUGGUGGAGAUUCAAGCAAGAUUAAUGAGCAAAGACUACCACUAGUCUGGGAGAUCACACCUGGAUUGAUGAUUUGAAAUAUACAUCGUGAAACUUCAAAGUUCACUGAAGAGAAAAGGUAUAAGAUAAUUUUUAUUGUAUUGAUGUUUUAAUAAUUAUUACUCUCAAACACCCACUCAACUUGUCUGUCUCCUGUCAUAUAGAUAAAAAUAAAGAGAAACCAGUCUGGUCUCUUUUGACACACAGGACCAUAAUAGGCUGGGGAGAACAAUACCAGGGCAAGAUGGGGCUGGUCUGAGGAUCUUUAGAGUCAUCCCACUCUGUCUAGUCCCUGGCUAGAAAAUGGAAACGUAUUUGGGAGCAGACAAGACCUCAAAUUAGUUUAUUGAAUAAGAAAACUGCUUAUUUUUUGCUGCAUAAUCUUGAGAUUGUGAACCUACAUUUCUCAUGGUGUCCUGUUGAAAGAAAAUGAAAGAAUAACCCAAAUCAGAGACAGUGUUCAGCAAGAAAUCAUCCAGUUUUGGCUGGACAAAAAAGGAUAUCCACCUCUGAAUUUAUUCCACAGUGUGAGCAGAGUAGCAAAAAGCUUGCCUGAGAAGCACCAGCCUGCUGGAUCAACAAGGGGAAUGAAAGUGUUUUCCCCUUUCUGAUGGCGGUACUGAAGAAUGGAUGCAAGCUUCCUGUUUGUGUUUUCUUGGCUUGGUUUUGGUGUAGCACUCAACUGAUGUGUGUGAAACCUUGGCAGGUAACGAACUACACACUGAAACAGACAGAAACCAAACUUGCAAUGAUCCUCACGUGUGAGUUGGACGCGGGAGCUGUGGGAAGAAGUGGGUGCUGGGCGUAGUCACAGGCUGGGGAGCAGGAGAGACAGUAAGGAAAAUAAACCGUGUCUCAAAAUAAUGUAUCAAAAUCCUAGCGAUAUAUCAAUUCCCCUAGACACUUCAGUGCUUUUUCUAAAAACUGCCUUGAACCUCGCAGACUAGUUCUUUCUGAUAUAUGUUUAAUAUUUUACAUCAGUUUACUACUAUCUCUACCUGUUUGUUUUGGGUUUUUUUGGUUCUGUUUUGGUUUUUUUUUUAAUCAUCUCUUUUUUCCCCCUAGGUGGUUCACUUCCUUUCCCCAGAAACAAACACACUGUUAUCUGAAAAUACCGUUCAUUACAGGAAAUCUGCUUUUCUGCCCUGUUUCUGUGCUUCCAGUAAGCUUCAGCAUCCAGAUCUGGUGUUACAGCUCAGGGACGAAGUCCUUCAUUGUCCAGUUCUGCAAGGAAAUAGUUAUGCAUGAACUUUACAAUUAGUGUCCAGAAUUUACCAGAAAAAAAAAAAAAAAAGACUCACACCAAAACACAGCAAACAACCAUCAAAACAAAACGAACAACCCCACAGAAUUGUGCAAUAAAAUUUUUCAUAAUAAACUUUGCAGAAGCUGUUUAAA
Long non-coding RNA from Columba livia (rock pigeon), 2023 nucleotides. RefSeq lists it as uncharacterized. The transcript has 2 exons. NCBI's taxonomy places the organism in Eukaryota, Metazoa, Chordata, Aves, Columbiformes, Columbidae. The record is from RefSeq and is a predicted model, not a curated record.